GCGAAGUCAGACGGGAAGUUCUGAAGUAACUGAUGAUGUGAUCGAGGAAUAAGCAACUUUCCUUGAAUAGACACUGAUCAUCUAUUCCCGCCUUUCACUGGAGAUCGCGCUUCUAGAUCUUUUAUAAAGCAUUCGGCUCAGUUCGUCAAACUUGUCGUAAGGGUUUUUUUUUGAAUGGCAAGACACUAGAACGUUUCAGACUGGUUUUAAUUGGACAGCCAUUUCUUCACGUCUGCACUUUAUUCUCAUCUCAAGUAUCAACGAAAUUAAGUAACAAGAAAAUUUAUCAUGAAACUGUCAGAAAUGAUAUUGUGCGUAAUGGCGGUACUAUUGGUGACGCUCACUGUUGGGAAUGGUGCUCCACAAUGGCGUCCACAGGGAAGAUUUGGAAAGAGAAUAGAUCCAACAUUAUCCCUUUUCCUACACAGAGGGCUAGAAAAAACAUACAAUCUACCAGAGAAAGAUUACUUACCCCAAGAAAAAAUAUUUCUACCAGAAAUAACGGGCGAAAUAUCCAUAGAAGGAUUGGGCACAGAUGCUAGAGAACAUUUAUCGAAGCUUUUACACAGAUUAUGUUCGGAAUCCGGAUUAGAUAACGUCCCAAGAUGCUCAUGGUUGAGAAAAGAAAGAGAUGAAAAUGAGUAGGCGCUUUUGAAGAAAUCCAUCAAGCCCAUCUUAGAAAAUUCCGAUUUAUUAUAUAGAUCACAAAUACUAAUUUGGACCAUUAAUAAUCAUAAUAAGGAUUUCAGACGUCAAAUUUGCCCAAAUUUUACACUACCACCCGGUACUAAAUAAUAUCUGAAAAUAUAAGUACUAAAUUAUUAAUGCAAACAAUGUUGCACUGUGCAGAUUUUCACCAAACAAGAUGACGUGCUAAAUUCACACUUUUUGUAAUUACCAUACGUACCAUAUUGAUUGUAUUGUUAAUUUAUAAAAUCUGUCAAAUAAAGCUCUUAGACAAGAACACUUGAACAUUUAAG
Patella vulgata (common limpet) is the source of this 980-nucleotide long non-coding RNA. RefSeq lists it as uncharacterized. The record is from RefSeq and is a predicted model, not a curated record. Lineage: Eukaryota; Metazoa; Mollusca; Gastropoda; Patellidae. The transcript is spliced from 4 exons.